GCGCCCGUAGCUCAAUUCGUAGAGCCGUGGAACGGUGAUCCACAGUCCCGGGAUCAAGUCCCGGCGGUCGCU
Molecule: non-coding RNA, 72 nt
Organism: Phthorimaea operculella (potato tuberworm)
Lineage: Eukaryota; Metazoa; Arthropoda; Insecta; Lepidoptera; Gelechiidae
Source: the annotation of a GenBank genome assembly